CGGGUGGGCAGGAGGACAUAGCAAAAUGAGGAGGGGGCGCGGGGGACAGCGGCUGAAUUGGGAAAGAUACAAGGACGUUUUAGGAGCUCUCUGUGGGUAUGAGCUGGGAGAAAUAAUCCUUGUAUGCUGAUUUAUUAUCUUCCAUUUUAGAGGCAGCAGGCUUUUGUACAGUGGGUUAUUGCAGAAUAAAUGGGACAUUAAAGAUAUAAUCAAGAUGUUUAAGGCAUACUGAAUGAUAUUAAAGUAGGUGAGACUUUUUGUCAUGGUCUGUAAAUAUAAAAAUGUCAGCGGCUUGGAGAUGUUUCCAGGGUUUUAGUUAAGGUGUGGCUCCAUUUCCAAAAGGAAGAUAUUUUUAACCUUUUGUUGUUUUCAGGGUGGGGUAGGGUGGGGUCAGGAAGUGAUUUAGAACCUAUGUUGUUGUUGGGUACCGUUGAGUCGAUUCAGACCUAUAACCUACAACCAACCCAAAACCAAAUCCGUUGCCAUUCUGACUCAUAGUGACCCUAUAGGCAGAGUAGAACUGUCCCAUAGGGUUUCCAAGGUUGUAAAUCUUUCUCCACAGAGCGGCCGCUGGGUUAGAACUGCUGACCUUUAACCAAGGGCUUAAACCACUGUACCACAAAGUUCCUUCUGUACAUCUCAGGGUAAGCUAAUUCCAGAGUUUUGGGUGUGGAGCUGAGAAACAUUCUCUAGUUUUGUCUCCUGGGGUACUUGGGUGGGUCAUGCAGUGCCACUAUUUUGGUGGGAGCCAGCAGUCCUCUGGCUACCAUUGUUGUUACCAGCUGCUCCCAGGAGGAAUCGCUACCCAGAUCAGCUCAGACAUUAAGAUAGCAAGAGCCCAGCAUCCUGCUGAAGCCCAGAUUUAGGCUCUAGGAUUAUCCCUGUGCACCAAUAACAUUCUACCAAAUUGCUAGAGACUUCCUGUAAUCCCUUGACACCAGGUACAGAGAAAGAAGGAGAAUUUUCCUUUCUAAAUCUAAAGCUAAUUUAGAGAAGUAGGCCUAUGGGAGUCUGCCCAAAGAGCCUUCCCUUUGACUUCUGUAUCCAAGAUUCCAAAGCUUUGGCUGAGAAAUUUCUCCCAGAGGAAAGCUGCGAGAAAAAAAAAAAAAAAAAAGAUUCUUUUAUUACGGUAAAAAUAUAUAUAACAAAACAUUUUGCCACUUCAACAUUUUUUACAUUAAUUACAUUCAUCAUAUGCAGCCAUCACCACUAUUUCCAAAUUUUUCCAUCACACUUAGCAGAAAAUCAGAGCCCCCUAAUGCCUCCCCCUCCUCCCUCUGUCCCACUCCUGGUAACCACUAAUGAACUUUGGUCUCUAUACAUAUGCCUGUUCUAGGUAUUUCACAUAGGUGGGUCAUACGAUAUUUGUCCUUUUUUGCCUGACUUAUUUUUGCUCAGCAUGUUUUCAAGGUUCAUCCAUGUCUGAUUUUUUUUUUUUUACUGAAUUGGUGUUCCUUUCCUCUUCAGUGCACAAUUGCAUUGCCAGAUAGGUAGUCUCAAAUCUUUCAGUCUUAAUGUUUUUUGUGCCUUGUUUAGAAAGAUCUUUCCCAAGUGAAGAUUAUAUAGAUAUAUUCGAAGUCUCUGGGUGGUGCAAAUGGUUAACACCUGGGCUGCUAACUGAAAGGUUAGAGGUUCGAGUCCACCCAGACACCUCGGAAGAAAGGCCUGGUGAUCUACUUCCGAAAAAUCAGAUGUUGAAAUCCCUAUGGGGCACAGUUCUAGGCUGCACACUUGGAGUUGUCUGUAUGACAACUUAAACUUUUAUAGGUUUUUUUGUUGUUGUUACAUUGUUUAUUUGCAUUUAGUUCUUUCAUCCAUCUGCAGCGUGUUUUUGUGUAUGGUGUGAGACAGUGAUCUGACAUUUUUUUCUUCUAUAAAAAUUAAACCAAAACAAAAAGAACACCAGUUGCCGUUGAGUUGCUUCUGGCUCAUACCAAUUUUUCCCUGUUUUUUUCUUUAAAUAAACUUUAUUCAGAAUAGUUUUAGAUUUAUAGCAAAGUGGCAUGGAUAGUACAGACAGCUCCUAUAUAACCCAAUCUGCUGUUUUUUGAGUAGUUUCUCUGCUUUGAAAGGAUAUUUUUACCCGGGACUAAAUUUCCACAUGUAUACAGAUGUCUUUCUAGAAUCUCACUUGUAUGCUAUUGCUCUCUUUGCCAUUUUUAAUGAUACCUGUAUUAUUAUUUCUAGAGAGUUCAUAGUUUUUGACAGGGAACUUGAGGUCUCAAAGGGCUUUAAGAGGUCAAGUCUAACUUCUCUUCAGGCAAGUAAAGUGUUAUCAACCCUGGCUUAUGGAUAUUGUUGCUGCUGAGAUCACACAGCUAGUGAAUAGGGAGGGGUGUGGUCAUGGAUUAUAGGAGCCCUCAUGGCGCAAUGGUUAAGCACUUGGCUGCUAACCAAAAGGUCAGCAGUUCUAACCCACCAGCUGCUCCGUGGGAAAAAUACGUGGCAGUCUGCUUUCGUAUUUCCACCUGGGGCGGUUCUGCUCUGUCCUGUAGGGUCGCUGUGACUCAGAAUCGACUCAACAGCAGUGGGUAGUGGUGGGUGAUCAUAAAUUUCUCAUUUUAUAUAUGGAAUGCCCUUUCCUCUGAGCCAAGCCUGGGGCACAAUAGUAAGGAUGAGGCUCUGGAGCAGAAUUUCCCAUCCUCAGCACCAUUGAGAUUGGGGCUGAAUAAUUCUUUGUUGCGGGGGCCAUCUUGUACAUUAUAGGAUGUUUAGCACUAGAUACCAGUAGCAUCACCCCACUCAUGACAAUCAAAAAUGUCUCCAGACAUUGCCAGAUGUGUCAUGGGGGGGCAAAAUUGUCCCUGGUUUCGACCCACUGCUCUGGAGUCAGAGUAUGAAUGUGGCUCCAGGAUUCAAUAGUCGUGUGCUCUGGUUUCCUCCCGUACAGAGUACAAAUAAAAAUGGUGCCCAUCUCCUAGGAUUGUUGUGAGGACUCAACUCAGAGGGGGCCCUAGUAGGACAGACUCGAACUCAAUGUUAGCUGUUAAUAUUUUAAAUAUUCUUUAUUUUCAAUCUCCUAAUCAACACAGACUUCCCAUUUUCCCUCCACCUCCCUGCCUUCCCCACCAAGGAGCAAGUGUUUUUAAACCUGAACAAUGUUCACCAAAAAAUUAUAUGUCUUUGUUAAUGAAAUGGAACUCUAUUUUCAGGCCUCCACUGUUGUUGUUGUUAGGUGCCAUCGCUUCCGACUCAUAGCAACCCUAUGCACAACAGAAUGAAACACUGCCCGGUCCUGCACCAUCCUCACAAUCAUUGCUAUGUUUGAGCACUGUGUCAAUCCAUCUCAUUGAGGGUCUUCCUCUUUUUUGCUGACCCUUUUUACUUUACCAAGCAUGAAGUCCUCGAGGGACUAGUCCCUCCUGAUAGAGUGUCCAAAGAGAGUGAGAUGAAGUCUUACUAUCCUUGCUUCUAAGGAACAUUCUGUCUGUACUUCGGAGACAGAGUUGUUCAGGCCUCCAUAACGGCUAAUUAAUUAGCUCUCAUGAUAAACUCAUCGGCGCUCGUGUGAAUUUUAUUUGCAGCUACAAAACAGCAAUUCCAGUUAGUUAACAGGCUUUAAAGUGACAAUCCAGCUCUGUGGAGCAGCAGAAAGGCCCAGAAAUGAUUUUUGAAGCAAGACGGUAAUGACAGUGGGGAAGACAGAAAUCUAGGAUAAGGAGAAGACUGAGGAUUUCCUUGAUUCAUUAACUUGAUGGCUUUGGGAAUGCUGUGUUCAUUUACCAUUAAAACACACCAUCAUCUUGCAAUGGAUGGAAGACUCGUCCUCCCGCAAUUCAUGUUACUUAGUCGCUCAGAAAGAGAAAAAAAUUCUUUUUUUGCCUUUUGUAGCAGCAGAUUUUGUAAGACCAUUAUGUCUGCUAUUAAGUUUGCCCAAGAGCCCCUUUAGGAGGGAUGGUUAUUUCUAGUGUGUAAGAAGACCUGGCUGAUGAUGGAGGGUUGGUUUAAAGGGAUGAGGGCCCUGGUUUAAAGAGGAGAAGGGAGUGCCCUGGUCUUGGGCAGCACAUGCUAUAGGGCAGGUAAGUCUCAUUAGCUUGGCAAUCUUUGUAAACCAAAAACCCGUUCCAACUCAUUGUGACCCCAUGUAUGUCAGAGUAGACUUGUGCUCCAUAGGGUUUUCAGUGGCUGAUUUUUUGAAAGUAGAUCUCCAGGCCUUUCUUCCGAGGUGCCUCUGAGUGGAUAUGAACCUUCAACCUUUUGGUUAGUAGCAGAGUGUGUUUAUUGUUUGCACCACCCAGGGGCCUGGAUGACUUUGGUAAUUCAUUCAGCCAGUGCAGCAGAGUGGUUAGAAGCCUGGUUCUGGAGUCGGAAUAAUGAGAUUGAAAUCCCAGUUCCCUACCCUGCUAGUUACGUGGUCUUCGGCAAGUCACUUAACCUUUCCAAGCCUCAUUUUUGCCCAUCUAUAAUAAAAAAAAAAAAAAAAAAAAUUUUUUUAAUAAUAAAAUAAUGUUAAUAAUAGUACCUAUCUCAUAGCUUCACUGUGCAUUUUAAGUGAGAAUUCAUUUAGACCAAUGGUUGGUGCAUAGUUAGCACUCAAUAAAUCUCAGCCGUUAGGAUAAUAGCUAUUAUUAUAAUUAUUCAGCUUUUGGUGAAUGUUUGUAUUCUUUCCGUGAGCCAUUGUGAGCCAGUGUGAGACAUUAUGCUAAGGGCUGGGGGUGCACUGAGGUAAAAUACAUUAUCUGCCUCGGAAAAGCUCACCCCUGGAGAUGGGAGAGAGAGUAAUCUUUGGGCAGAGAUGAACACUGAGGACUGUGAACGUAGGGAAGGGAGUAAGAGGAGCCUUUCAGGAGAUGGUGACCCUAAUGAAAUGACUACUACCCACAGUCUGGUAAUUCAAUAACUACAAAGUGAAUGGAGCCUGAAUACAGGCAGGGCCACAACACACUGGCAGAGGCAGUGAAGACCGUUAGAAACCUAUGUGGAGCUUCAAAAAAAAAUUUUUUUUAAUUACAAAAUAAGAAACAAUGACCAAGUUUGAAAUGCACAGUCUGCAAGACCAGAGAGAAAAGUCUCACCUACUCAUAGUGAGUCAUGCCUUGACAUGGUUUUUGCAGACUUUAAGCCUGUUUGUGUCAGGCCCUGAGUCCCUGUCUUACAGGGCACCCUGAGGUGCUGGGUACCGGGUGCAUGGGCUGCUGUGAUAUUUGUUUGGUGAGGUGUGCUUCAUCAAGUCUGUCUUCUUGCAAGAACUCACCUGGUAGUUAGAAGGGGAUUUUGUUUUGUACAAAGGGCUGUCGAAGUUCAUUGCUGAGGAUUAGCCCUGUAGUUUCUUGCUAUUGGCAAAGGUGUGGACCCUGCUUUUUUUUUUUUUUUAACAUUUCUAUGCCUCUUGGGCUACAGGUAGGGAUCCCAAUGAGAUAAUUAUCCAAACUCAAAAAAAAAUUAAAGUGCUCUAUAAAAGACUCUCCUGUCAUCCUUUUUUAUUGUCCAGCUUUCACAUGCAUAUGAAGUAAUUGAAAAUAUCAUGGCUUGGGUCAGGUGCACCUUAGUCCUCAAAGUGAUAUCUUUGCUUUUACAAUUUAAAAGAGGUCUUUUGUCACAGAUUUGCCCAAUGUAAUAAUGCUGUUUGAUUUCUUGACUUGCUGCUUCCAUGGGCGUUGAUUGUGGAUCUAAGUAGAAUGAAAUCUUUGACAACCUCAAUUUUUUUUUCACUAUAUAGAUUUUUUUUUUUUAUCACACUUUAGAUGAGAGUUUACAGAGCAAAUUAGUUUCUCAUUAAACAAUUAAUACACGUAUUGUUUUGUGACAUUGGUUGCCAACACCAUGACAUGUUAUUAUUCCCUUCUCGGCCUUGAGUUCCCUAUUACCACUCAAUUUUCUUUUUUAAUUUUGUUUAUAGUGAGCAUAUACAAUAAUUUGGAUCGAUCUCCUUUAUACCUUUUGGGAGUAAACUGUUAGAUUGGAAUUAAUUUAGCUUUGAAAGAAGUACCCCGGUAACUUUUUUUUUUUUUGGCAAAAUCUUAUUUAUAUCAACUUUUGGGUUAGUUUUUACUUUUCCCUCAAAUGGUGGGAAAAACAUAAAAGGAAGUGAAUUUUAGAAAUAAAAACAAAUAGCUCCUCUAGCAUCAUGCACCGUGAUCAAAUUUGGUGUGGAUUUCUUUGAGGUUUGCUUUUCAUAGGACAAGUUAUACACUUGCCCAACAGUUAUACAACUGAGCUCAGUUUUAAAAUUCAGCUUUUUAUUGAUUUAAUUCAACCACAGUUUUCCUGGGCUCUGCUCUGGGGACAUGCUAAGAAUGGGGAGAAGCAGUAGUGUUGAUGAAUGUAAAUGGUCAGUGGUUUAAAGGCCUUCCCAUUGUUCUUGUUUUCGUGUGUUCUGAAUACAAAUCUCAUGAAGUUGACAAAACAGCUCCUAGUGCAGAGUAAGAGCUGGUAAAUGGGAGGCAAUUACACUGCUGAGCUGCUCUGCCUUGUUCUCCUUUCUGGCUGAGAAGCGGUUCCAGCUGUGCAGUUUAACUUCAUCUUGACCUGGGUGUUUCAGUCGCAUAUGAGCAAGCAGUUGCCUCAUUUGAGAUGUAGACUUUAGGGGCCUGGAGACUGGAGGGUCUGGGUGACUGACUGGGCGCCGUGGGAGGUGGGGCGUGGACUGUGGUGGCUGCAGAGGUUCUCCGUACAGAUCCUCGUGGCCUCUGGCUCUGGACUUUCUGUGCCAUAUGGUGACUGUUCAGGGAGCUUGUAGGGAGGAGAGGGUAGGAAAGUGAUCGGGGGCCAGAGGGGAUCUUUCAGAGGGCAGAGGCAAGAAGUUGUUAAUCAUAGUAAAAACCUAGAAUUUGUCAUCACAAAAUAAUCAAGAAAUGUUUUCUAAUUGUCCACCAUGGGGAAGGCACUAAUGGUGUGGGGAGAAGGGUAAAAGGUCGAAAAUAUCAUCCCUGUUUUUGAGAAUUUCAGUUUCACAAUUGAUGGAUGCAAGCCCCCCUGGGAGCAAAUGUUAAAUUGCGUGGUUAGAUGAUGGAUAUCCCAGGGCUAUUUCUUGCUCUCCUCCACACCCAGCCACAAUAUUUUUAAAAAAUGCAUUCUGGAUCAUACCCCUUCCCUGUUUCCUCUGUCUUAGGAGUCUGUCUAGGCCUGUCUUAAAACAUGCCAUUCUCAGUCUUCUCAGUUAUCCGCCCUAGCAGAGGGGCCCUAUACUGAUUUCUUUGAGCUGCUGUAACAAAUGAUCACAAACUGUGUGGCUUAAAAUAACAGAAAUUUAUUUGUUGGAGAUAGGAACUCAAAGUCAAGGUGUUGGCAGGGCCCUGUUCUGUCUGAAGGCUCUGGGGCAGAAUCUGUUUUGUGCUGUUCCCUUAGCUUCUAAUGUUGCCGGGGAUCCUUGGCUUGUAGAUGUAUCACCUCAGUCUUCACCUCUGUCAUCACAUGGCCUUCUCCCUGUGUGCGUCUCUGUUUGCGUCUUUUCUAAUUUUUUUAAAUAAAGACAUUAGUUACAUUGGAUUAAGAGCCCACCUCAUCUUAAUUACAUCAGCAACAACCCUGUUUCCAAAUAAGGUCAUAUUCUGAGGCUCUGAAUAGGAUAUGAUUUUGGGGCGACACUCUUCAGUCCAGUACAAACCCCCUUUUAGUUCCUGCUAGCGUGCCUGGUCCCAUUCUAUCUUAGCAUUUGAACAUUCUAUUUCCUCUGCCUGAGACUCCUUUUUGCCUGCUCCUUACCAGGCCAAAGCCUACUCAUUCUUCAGGAUUUCUCCUUAAAUGUCAUUUCCUCCUAAUGCCCAGGUGCUUCAUAGGAUCUUGUACCUUUCCAGUGGUGGCCUUAUCACAUUUGAACUCACUUGUUUGUACAAUUACUGAUGAUAUCUCAGUCUCUCCUGUUAUAUCACCAUCCCUACGAGGAUAUGGGCAAGGACCAUGUCUGUCUUGCUCUGUGCUGUAUCCCUAGCACCUAGAACAGGGCGGGGCACAUAGUAGGUGCUCCAUAACCAGUGUCGAAUGAUUGGUUGUGGAUGGAGAGAUUCUACGGGUCUGGGACAGCUGUCCUUUGAAAGCACUUUGUGUCUCCCCAGACUAGGGCACUUAGUGUGUGGGAUUGAAAUGUCCCAUUUGUCUACCUUUGUGAGUCUGUAAGCUUCUAGAGGGCAGAGUUUAGGCAAUGGCCAUAUUUUUAUAUCCAGAGCCUGGCACACAUAGGAACUCAACAAAGGUUUGUUGAAUGAACGAAAGAAUGCAUGUAUGCAUGAAUGACGGGGACCUCUCUGGGUUUUAAAGCAUCCCUGGGAAAUAAAAGCAGAGCAAAAAUAAAUUUAAGCAUCAGGAACGGCAGCAGGGGUUGGGAUGCAAAAUAAGACGAGGGUAAAACAAAAGCUGAUAACCUGACUUAGAAAAAUACUGGUAGUCACCACACACAGCAUGACAGGAUGUGCUCCUCUGCAGCUGAGCAGAGGGUUGGGGGGUGGGGUGGGGGUUGAGGGGUGGGGUCCCAUGGAAUUUCCCCAGCUGAACUUUAUGCCUUGAAUGAGGUCUGUCUUUCAGUGUGAAAGAAAGAAGAGUCAAGGUUUUAGCCAGGGCCUCUGGGUGAGUGGUGCUUCCAUUUAUGGAGACAGGGUCAACAGUGGGAGGAGCACACCUUCCCAGGCGCCAAACCUCCAGUGAUGUCUUCAGCUGCUGCACUUGUUCAUGUCAGGCUUAGUACAUUUUAUAAGUUGCCUUCUAUGGUUACAUAUUUUUCAGCUGCAUACCUUGCUACCUUAUUUAGUCUUUAAAUUCCUUUGGGGGAAGAAACUUUUUUUUUUUAAUUUGUCUAAGAAGUAGGUAUUGAAGCAGAAUGGUUAAACGUCCGAGUUGUAUGUGCUUGGGUGAGUGUUUUAGUUGAUUAACUUUUCCUCCUUCUUAUUUUUUAAUUUAUGUAUAUAUUUUUGGUCAAAUGGGGACAACAGUAUUGUCUCCCCUCUAGGUCUUUGUGAGGGCGAAGUGAGAUUUGCAUGUCAGGUGCCUGCUUGGGUCUGGCAUGCAAUUGACACUUGGAAAGGGGUGGUUAUUCUAUCACUUGGUUCCCCCUUCCCAUUAGAUUUCUGUGCUGCUGGCCUUCCUACCUCAGUGUCACCUAAUUUGGAGCAAUUUGAGAUGAGAGCAUCACUUUUCCCCUUUCCAUAUCUUCAUGCAAAAAUGGGAGGGCUGGGACAGGCUGCAAGACACGAGGAGGUGGCUUUGUGCUGUCUCUGGAAAAACCUAUGUGUAUCCUCAGCUUUGAGAACUGAAUUCCAUGGGUCGUCUCAGUGUCAGACCUGUGAAGUUCAGUUCUUCAGCUGGGAUAUCUCUGUCAUCACGGACCUGAGGGACCCUGAGAGAACAGAUCCAAGGCCUGCUGAAGAACAUGGAAGACUAGAAAGAGAAGGGCAAAGUCUCGGGCUGUGAAUGAAUAGGUAGCAUGGGUUCAGGGGAAAAGCACUCAUUUAAUUGCUUGAAGACCUUAGUUCUAGCUGAAUGAAUGAUUUCAGCAAGUCACUUCCUACUGCUGCUGCUACUACUAGUUUACCUGUAUUGAUUGCUUACGAUGACCCAGGUACUCUUCUGAGUGCUGUACAUGCUGUUUUAGGAGACUCCUGGGAAAAAUCACUGUAAUGAGACUUGAGACAUCUGGCACUGCUAUGCAAUGAUUUUUUUCCUUCUUCAUGGGUUCAGACAGAAUUAGUAGAUGUGCAAUUAUUUUUUAUCACUGCCGAGGUUACUGGUCUUUUUUUUUUUUUUUUAAAGAUAGUCCACACAUCUGUGGUGAAAGAGGAGGAAAAACAUGGGUACACCAUGACUUAUGGGCCUCCUCUCCGCUUAUUUGAAUCUCUGCUUCCUUCCCCACUAUAAACAAUUAGGGCUUAAUAGCGCCCUCGUAUUCCAAAUGUUAGCCGAUUCGGGGAUUAGGGUCCGUGCCCCGGAGCAGUCGAGCCAAUAAAAUGUACUCCAAGUCAGAAAGAGUGAGAAGGUUUAUUCUGGAGAUGAAUACAUCACCAGGACUGGCAGUAACACAGGCUGUCUCUCUGGAGUCCCAGAAAGCAAUUUUACUUUAGUUUAUAUAGACUUUUACAGAAGUUAGAAGUGUCUUUGUAGUUACUUGGCCAGAUGUAUGCUCAAGAGGAGUUAUUCAUUACAGGGUAGUGACAAAAGAUACCUGUCAGACAUCUCUUUAUUAGGCUAAAGAUACACAUACCAGAUACCUGGGCUCUGAUUUUCCUGUGGGGGUUGUAUGCCACAGGUGGUUGGAAAGAACAAAAGGUUAUUUGCAUCAGUUUAAAACAAAGUCAUUUCGGUCAAAACAAAGUCAUUAACAGAGGUAUGUGAAGGAGGCAGGCAGAGGAAGAACAACUUAUAGGUUCAUCAUGGUGUUAGUUACGUCAAGCUCUCAGUUGCCCAUUUUGAAAAAGGAGAAAACAUGCUGGGGAGUAUCAGGGUCACAUGAACAAGGAAAAGCGGUUGUAAUUAGAUUUUAUCAUCAUCCUCAGUCUCUCCCAGGGAAAAGUAGUACAAAGCUUUUGAAUACCCCCCUUCUUUUGCUGGAGAGUCCCUGAGUGGUACACACAGUAAAAUUCUCAGUUGCUAACUGAAAGGUUGGAGGUUCAAGUCUACCCAGAGGUGCCCUGGAAGAAAGGUCUGGUGAUCUACUUUAGAAAAAUCAGCCAUUAAAAACCCUAUGGAGCACAGUUCUCCUGACACACAUGGGGUCGCCAUGAGUCAGAGUCGACUCGAGAGUACCUGGUUGGGUUCCAUUUUCUGGAAUGGUUUGUUGCCUGUUGUGGGUAAAGCUCUUUUGUUGUACUUCUCUGUCACCAAGUAAGCCAGGCCUGUUCUGAGGUUCAGGACUGCUGAGACGAUGAUAGUUUCCAUCUAAUUUAGGCAGAGGGCUGAGGGCAGCGAAAGUUCUAUCUGGACUUUAUUUGGCUUUUGUUUGAUAGGGAAUAAAGGAUGUGAUUUGUUUUUUGGAAACUCAUUUUUGAUUCAUUUCUGUCUCUUGGUGUCCUGAAAUUUCUACCUCAUUGUAUACUGAUGAUGUUGAAUUUUACCUAAGCCAUAUGAUCCUGGAAAAGAGUGAUGCUUAAAGAAAUCCCCUUAACCUCUUUUGAGUUCUGGAAAACAGCUUACUGCAAAGAACUGACCAAGAUGGUCUUCGUGAUCUCCUCUGCUUGAAUAAACUUUAGACAGGCUCCUUCUACCCUUAUCUCCCUCUCCCUCUCUGGGUCUCCCAGGAUCCAGGUGGCCUUCUUACAAGAAAAGAAAGCAUUCUGAGUCAAUUGGCCCUAAUUACAAACUCUAAAUCACUCACCCAUCCCAGUGAUCAACCCCUCUUGAUUUUCUUCAUUAUUUGUCCACUAGCCCACACCAGCUUUUAAAAAUCUUGCAAGCCUUAAUUCCAGGGAGUUGAACUCAGACUUGGGUCUGUUUCAUGCCCCAUUGCAAUGGCUUUCCCCCUCCACCACACAGUGUUCUUGCCCCCCCCCGCUUACGAUAGUCCUUCCCCUCCUUCUUGCAAUAAUUUUUUUUAUAAAGUCAGCCUUGCCUGUUUAACAUUAUCUUGUGUUAUUUUUUGACGGUAGUCUAAAGAAUGAAAGUGUGCUUUGGUCCAGAGAGGGGAGGCAGGCACAAGGUGGGAGACCCUGCAGUACAUUGAUCCUCACCUUGUCCUCUCAGUGACACUGACAUUUACUGAGUGCACUGUGCUGGGCAUUCCGCUCAGGGCUUUGUGUGCACGAUCAUAGUGAACCUCACACCAAGCCUUGUCACGAAAAUGGGGACGAUUUCAUAAAAUAAUGUCAACUAAAAAAGUAUAAACACUUUUUUUCAGAAGCAGAUGCAAAAGCGUCCUUGGUUCCCAUGAAACCCCCUAGCAUGAGUGUAUCCUCAGGCUGUACUUAUCAAAUCAAGGACCUCACCAGUCCCUCUCACACUCUGCCCACUUCCGCCCUUUGCUUAUCAGACUGUGCAUUUUGCCAGUGACUCAUUCCACACAUAGAGCUUUGGUGAAACACAGCUGAGACCAGACAGCAGUGUGUUCAGCCCUGGACACCUGAAGAAAUCCAGAAAUCUGACUCAAAAAAAAAAAAAAAAAACCAAA
Loxodonta africana (African savanna elephant) is the source of this 12028-nucleotide long non-coding RNA. RefSeq lists it as uncharacterized. The record is from RefSeq and is a predicted model, not a curated record. The transcript is spliced from 2 exons. Lineage: Eukaryota; Metazoa; Chordata; Mammalia; Proboscidea; Elephantidae.